Molecule: transfer RNA, 72 nt
Filed under: Enterocloster bolteae
Lineage: Bacteria; Bacillati; Bacillota; Clostridia; Lachnospirales; Lachnospiraceae
Description: [Clostridium] bolteae tRNA-Gln
Rfam family: tRNA
About the family: Transfer RNA (tRNA) molecules are approximately 80 nucleotides in length.
Source: RNAcentral
UUGGCUAUCGCCAAGUGGUAAGGCACAGGACUUUGACUCCUGCAUUCGUUGGUUCAAAUCCAACUAGCCCAG